CCUACGGGGUGCAGCAGUGAGGAAUAUUGGUCAAUGGCCGGAAGGCUGAACCAGCCAAGCCGCGUGAAGGACGAAGGUGCCAAGCAUUGUAAACUUCUUUUGUCAAGGGACAAAAUCAGGCUCGAGAGCCUGACCGAGGGUACUUGAAGAAAAAGCAUCGGCUAACUCCGUGCCAGCAGCGGCGGUACUACGGAGGAUGCGAGCGUUAUCCGGAUUUGUUGGGUUAAAAGGGUGGGUCGGCGGAAUGUUAAGUUAGUGGUAAAAGCCCGGGGCUAAACCCCGGCGAGCCGUUGAAACUGGCUGUCUUGAGAUGUCGAGAGGUAUGCGGAAUGCGCAGUGUAGCGGUGAAAUGCGUAGAUAUUGCGCAGAACUCCGAUUGCGAAGGCAGCAUACCGGCGGCGAUCUGACGCUGAGGCACGAAAGCGUGGGUAUCGAACAGGAUUAGAUACCCCUGUAGUC
This 459-nucleotide ribosomal RNA is filed under the name uncultured bacterium. RNAcentral describes it as "partial 16S ribosomal RNA". It matches the Rfam family "Bacterial small subunit ribosomal RNA", at positions 338 to 795 of the family's 1533-position model. The record is from RNAcentral.